This 228-nucleotide ribosomal RNA is filed under the name uncultured bacterium. RNAcentral describes it as "partial 16S ribosomal RNA". It matches the Rfam family "Bacterial small subunit ribosomal RNA", at positions 568 to 796 of the family's 1533-position model. The record is from RNAcentral.
UCCGUAGGUGGAUAAUUAAGUCAGAGCUGAAAUCCUGCAGCUCAACUGUAGAAUUGCCUUUGAUACUGGUUAUCUUGAGUCAUUAUGAAGUGGUUAGAAUGUGUAGUGUAGCGGUGAAAUGCAUAGAUAUUACACAGAAUACCGAUUGCGAAGGCAGAUCACUAAUAAUGUACUGACACUGAUGGACGAAAGCGUGGGGAGCGAACAGGAUUAAUACCCUGGUAGUCC